UACACGGAAGGAUUUGUGUAAGGACGGUUUUGUGUAAGGAGCCGCUUGUGAUAAUAUUAUUAAUCAAUAUUUAUAGAGAUCUUCAUUGACACAUACCUACUUAAAAAGCUGUGUAUAUUUCUCAUAGCUCUCAAUUCUUCGAAACUAAGUCCUUAAAAAAUAAAUUGUAUAUAUUGUGCCAAUAAAGUGUAAUUGUGAAGUAUAUAAAAUAAGACAGGAUAUUAAGCAAUUGUAUAUUGUAUUGAAGAUCAAUACAAGUGUAGUGACGCAGUUUAUGAAUCUAAGGCUGGAUAUUAAGAAAUUGUAUAUUGUAUUGUUAAUGUACAGUAGUCCAGGUACUGGAUAGAAAGAAGUUGUUUACUGUAAUGAGAAUUAUAUAAGCAGAAGCAAUGUGUAAAUACUGAUUUGAACUUUGAAUUAUGAUAGUGAUAAAUUUUAAUGUGUUAAUAAGGAACAUAAGUUCAGAGACUUUGUAUAAUAGAAGUUUUCUAUUGAAAUGAGAAAUGAUAUAAGUAUUUUGAUGCCAAUAUGGUGAUGUUGACUUGUACUGCUUGAAUUUGAAUGAGGUACACAAAUCCAGAGACUGGAUACAUAGGAUUCUUUAUUUAAUGAUUGAUGAUAUAAGUAUGUUGUCGUCGAUAUGUUCAUAUUGACUUGUAAUAUUGAAAUUUGAAUGUAUUGAUAAAGUAUGUGUAAGAUAAGAACCGAGACUGGAUAUAAGGAAUUGUUUAUUUGAUGGGGAACUAUAUAAAUGAAUUCAUGUCAAUAUGUUGAUUUUGACUUGUAUUGCUUGAAUUUGAAUGUAUUGGUAAGGUACCUACACAAGUCCGGAGACUGGAUAUAGAGAAUUGUUUAUUUAAUGGGGAAUGAUAAAAGUAUAUUGAUGUCAAAAUGUUGAUGUUGACUUGUAAUCGUUGAAUUUGAAUGUAUUUAUAAAGAAAUAAAUCCAGAGACUGGAUAUAAAACAUGUCGAUUAUUGAAAUAGGAAAUGACAUAAGUAUAUAGAUGCCAAUAUGUUGAUGUUGACUUGAAAUGGUUGAAUUUGAAUGUAUUUAUAAAGAAUAUAGAUCCAGAGACUGGAUAUAAAUAAAGUUGAUUAUUGAAAUAGGAUAUGAUAUAAGUAUAUAGAUGCCAAUAUGUUGAUGUUUACUUGUAAUUGUUGAAUUUGAAUGUAUUUAUAAAGAAAUAAAUCCAAAGACUGGAUAUAAAACAAGUCGAUUAUUGAAAUAGGAAAUUAUAUAAGUAUAUAGAUAUCAAUAUGUUGAUGUUGGCUUGAAAUGGUUGAAUUGGAAUGUAUUUAUAAAGAAUAUAAAUCCAGAGACUGGAUAUAAAACAAGUCGAUUAUUUAAAUAGGAAAAUAUAUAAGUAUAUAGAUGCCAAUAUGUUGAUGUUGACUUGUCAUGGUUAAAUUUGAAUGUAUUGAUAAGGUACAUAAGUCGAGAGACUUGAUAGAAGGAUCUUGAUGUCAAUUUGUUAACAUGACUAGAAGGCGUAGAUAGCUCCAAAUAGGAGUGAAUUCCUCGUUGCAGUCACAGUGAUAGUAAGAUUAACUUACUCUGUUAAACUUGAAUGUUUUGAUAAAGUAUACAAGUCCAAAUACUAGACGUGAAGUUGUUUACCGUAGUAAGAAUUUGUACAAGUAUAUGGUUGCCAAUUUGUUAAAAUGGCAAUGUACACAGGUCACAGUUUGGAUUCAAAAUGAAAUGAAAUGAAAAUAUUCGCAAAAAUUGUUUAUCGUAGUGAGAGUUUAUGCAAUUAUAUUGUUGACGAUUUGUUAGCAUGGCUGGAAGGCGUGGAUGGCUCCAGUUGGAGUGAAGGCCACGAUGCAGUCCGUCCUAGUUAAAGAUACGACUCUGGAAGGUUGGCACGAUCGUGAAGCCUUGUUGGUGGACAUCCUCUUGGCUUUGCGGUGAGGGGUCAAAUGCAGAUGUCGUGAGUUGAGAUUGGCUGGAAGGCGUGGAUGGCUCCAGUUGGAGUGAAGGCCACGAUGCAGUCCGUCCUAGUUAAAGAUACGACUCUGGAAGGUUGGCACGAUCGUGAAGCCUUGAUGGUGGACAUCCUCUUGGCUUUGCGGUGAGGGGUCAAAUGCAGAUGUCGUGAGUUGAGAUUGGCUGGAAGGCGUGGAUGGCUCCAGUUGGAGUGAAGGCCACGAUGCAGUCCGUCCUAGUUAAAGAUACGACUCUGGAAGGUUGGCACGAUCGUGAAGCCUUGUUGGUGGACAUCCUCUUGGCUUUGCGGUGAGGGGUCAAAUGCAGAUGUCGUGAGUUGAGAUUGGCUGGAAGGCGUGGAUGGCUCCAGUUGGAGUGAAGGCCACGAUGCAGUCCGUCCUAGUUAAAGAUACGACUCUGGAAGGUUGGCACGAUCGUGAAGCCUUGUUGGUGGACAUCCUCUUGGCUUUGCGGUGAGGGGUCAAAUGCAGAUGUCGUGAGUUGAGAUUGGCUGGAAGGCGUGGAUGGCUCCAGUUGGAGUGAAGGCCACGAUGCAGUCCGUCCUAGUUAAAGAUACGACUCUGGAAGGUUGGCACGAUCGUGAAGCCUUGUUGGUGGACAUCCUCUUGGCUUUGCGGUGAGGGGUCAAAUGCAGAUGUCGUGAGUUGAGAUUGGCUGGAAGGCGUGGAUGGCUCCAGUUGGAGUGAAGGCCACGAUGCAGUCCGUCCUAGUUAAAGAUACGACUCUGGAAGGUUGGCACUAUCGUGAAGCCUUGUUGGUGGACAUCCUCUUGGCUUUGCGGUGAGGGGUCAAAUGCAGAUGUCGUGAGUUUAGAUUGGCUGGAAGGCGUGGAUGGCUCCAGUAAGAGUGAAGGCCUCGAGGCAGUCCUAGGAACGCAAAUCUGUAAAGGUGGCACAGUCAUGAAUUCUUGCUGGCGAAUAACCUCUUGACUUUGACCUUUAACUUUGUACCAAAAUUAAAACCAAUUUGUAAAUGUGAACACCAUGUAGCAUUUUAAUUGUCACUUUACUCUCAUUUGUUUGUCGCGAUUCUACAUGAUCUUCGCAUGCUUUUACUGUAUGUAUCAAUACAUACAAAUUGUAAUACUUUAUUAUUUUUAAAAAGAGUAACCAUGGAGUUUCUUGCCCGUUCUUCUCCAUAGGAAGCUACUUUUGGAAUGGGCAACUAGAAUCAAACUUAGUUAUAAUUUUGACGUCCAUAAGUGCUUGUAAAGGCCUAAAUGAAAUAAAUGAUUUGACUUUGACUUUGAGAAGUUUGAGGACAAACUUAGUGGUCAGAAUGGCCGAAUGUUAGACUAAUAUUAUCCUGUGUUGUUCUGUAUGUUAUAUUCUCUUUUCAUACAUUAAGGAACUAUACUAUAUUUACCGAAGUAUACUAAAUCAUUUUAGUUUUAUACGGACAACACUACCUCUACUGUGAGGACAACACUAAAAAGAGAUUUUGACAGUUAGAGCGCGCGCUUCCCAUGCGCUUCCUUCGUGGACUGAUAAACUAUGUUUUCUUACGAUUGAUAUUAAAUUGUGUUUUAAAAGUGAAUACAAGAAGUUAUUGUGAUA
Molecule: long non-coding RNA, 3505 nt
Organism: Helicoverpa armigera (cotton bollworm)
Lineage: Eukaryota; Metazoa; Arthropoda; Insecta; Lepidoptera; Noctuidae
Exons: 2
Source: RefSeq, a predicted model, not a curated record